AUUCAGCGCGGGCCAGGAAGGGAAGAGGUGCUUCCCCCCUUCCUCCCGCACGGCGAGGAGGGGAGGGGAGGGGAUGGGACGCGACGGGAUGGCGGCGGGGGUCCCAGCCCCGGCACCCCGCGCUCUCGCCCUGUCCACUCGCCCUUUUACCUCCGCCCUCCCUCUGUCCGUCCCCUCCCGGCCCCUCGGCUGUCCCAGCGGCGGGGAUACGGGCAGAGCCGGGGGCCAGACCCAAAGGUCAAUUUUAGGACUGUGCAGUUUACAGUGUAAGUUAAAGGAAAAAAAAAAAAAAAGCUGCUUGGCAGUAGCCGAGGGUUGUCCUUCGUAGUUUGUAGUACAAAGCAAUCUCCUAUGGCAUGCAGUUUGAGCAGAGGAGGGAGGAGGGAGCACGAACAGUGCCAAGACAAUACACAACCACUCUGUGGACAUCUGCCAUGUAGAGCCAGCUGCGGCUGGGACUUUGGUCGGAUCUGCCAACAUGUGAAAACUGCGUCGAGGGAUAGAAGGGAUAUCCGAAGACAUGGAAAUGUGCUCUUGCACUUGCAUGUUGAUAGACCAGAGGAGAAAAACUGUGCAACUAUUUCUGUUAACAGUGCUUCAUGGCAUUUUCUAAACAAGCUAUUUGGGAUAAGAUGUCAGAAAACUGCAUGCAGUCAGUACUAGAUCCACCCCCAGAUCUGCCUAUCACAGUUCGUGUCUUGAAGCUUUUUAGUACUGUGAGUAAGCUGAAUUUAACUUGAUGUGAUCAAUGAUUUUGUUCCUCUAAAUGACUUGCCGGUAUGUCUUGAUUCAACAUUAAAAUACACUUUGAUUG
Long non-coding RNA from Cygnus olor (mute swan), 814 nucleotides. RefSeq lists it as uncharacterized. NCBI's taxonomy places the organism in Eukaryota, Metazoa, Chordata, Aves, Anseriformes, Anatidae. The record is from RefSeq and is a predicted model, not a curated record. The transcript is spliced from 2 exons.